Mauremys reevesii (Reeves's turtle) is the source of this 771-nucleotide long non-coding RNA. RefSeq lists it as uncharacterized. The transcript is spliced from 3 exons. The record is from RefSeq and is a predicted model, not a curated record. NCBI's taxonomy places the organism in Eukaryota, Metazoa, Chordata, Testudines, Geoemydidae.
AGUUACAGUGGUGAAUUUUGAAUUGAAGACUCGAAAAAUGGACACAUUUUUGAAGAAAAGAGAUUCUGGCACCGCCAUAUCUACUUUCAGUGAUGAAGCUGACCAUGAAGUCGAACUGAUUAAGGAAUCAUUCAGACCUAUUUGAAAGGAGCUUCUUGCCUCAACACUCUUGCCAGUUGCCAUCUCUGCUACAAGAGUCACAGAAAUCUGUUACAAUUCAGUAAACAUACAGCUUCUGUGAGAACAAUCCCAUGUUUCUGCCUCUUGCACACCUGCUCCUCAAAUUAUAGCAAACAGAAGUCAACGCCCAGGAUUUUUGCUGCCUGACUGUCCAGAAGAGGGAGGAGGCCAGGUUGAAAACUUUUUAAAACGUCUUUUUAGAAGCAGGGAGACAUCACCGAACAAAGUCACAGUUGCUAAAGAAGAGACAGUCAAGACACUGCAGCAAUCCUUUUAUGAGAGGCAACACAGCAUCAGAUAGAAAGCAUUUGAAACAUCUAAAGAAAUCAGAGAUUUCCUUUCAAACAUCAAGUGGAUGGACUGAGCUGACAAUUAUGAUGUUCAAUGGUAUUAGCAGAAUGGCUUAAAUUUUGUCCUCAACUGUUCAUCCUGCCAACGAGCAAUAAGGAGUUAACAAAAACAGAUGUUUUGCAUUGUUCUUUGGCUAUUUUGAAAGAACUUCCUGUGCCAAGAUUUUCUGAUAACUUCUGAAUGGAUUUGGAAGGGCAGCCAAAAAAGCCUUUGCUUGCUUUCUUCGUAAGGAGAAACAAU